This 234-nucleotide ribosomal RNA is filed under the name uncultured bacterium. Its description in RNAcentral is "partial 16S ribosomal RNA". It matches the Rfam family "Bacterial small subunit ribosomal RNA", at positions 15 to 237 of the family's 1533-position model. The record is from RNAcentral.
GAUCCUGGCCAGGAUGAACGCUAGCUACAGGCUUAACACAUGCAAGUCGAGGGGCAGCAUGGUCUUAGCUUGCUAAGGCCGAUGGCGACCGGCGCACGGGUGAGUAACGCGUAUCCAACCUGCCUUACACUCUUGGACAGCCUUCUGAAGGGAGAUUAAUACAAGAUGUUAUCAUGAGUAAGCAUUUUCGUCAUGAUACUAAAGGUUUAACCGGUGUAAGAGUGGGAGUGCGUU